GAGGAAAGUCCGGGCUCUAUUUAAAGAUAUAUAGCUGUAUAAAUUGCAGUAUAGGCGACUAUGAGGAUAGUGCUACAGAAAUAAACCGCCUAUUUGUGUUUUUAAAUCAUUAAUUAAGGUAAGGGUGCAAUGGUGCGGUAAGAGCGUACCAGAAAUAUUAUCAAGAUGUUUGCUAGGUAAACCCCGUAUUAGAGCAAAGUACUCGAUUAGCUAUAGUUUUCUUUAUUAUUAUGGCGUACUAAUUAUAUGAAUUAAUACUGCAUUGAAGUAAAUUGAUAAAUUUUUAUAUACUCUAGAUUAAUGAUUGCCCUUUUUGCGUAGUUUGUUUAUACGAUUAUGCAAUAAGAACAAAAUCCGGCUUAU
Molecule: RNase P RNA, 363 nt
Filed under: Spyridia filamentosa
Lineage: Eukaryota; Rhodophyta; Florideophyceae; Ceramiales; Spyridiaceae
Description: rnpB
Rfam family: Bacterial RNase P class A
About the family: Ribonuclease P (RNase P) is a ubiquitous endoribonuclease, found in archaea, bacteria and eukarya as well as chloroplasts and mitochondria.
Source: RNAcentral